This 208-nucleotide microRNA precursor is filed under the name Oryza meridionalis. RNAcentral's name for it is "MIR812 microRNA precursor family". It matches the Rfam family "MIR812 microRNA precursor family". The record is from Rfam by way of RNAcentral. Lineage: Eukaryota; Viridiplantae; Streptophyta; Magnoliopsida; Poales; Poaceae.
AAUAAAACUAGCAGUAAGUUUUCAUAUCUAACAUUAAUCGUUUAUCUUAUUUAAAAAAUAUUUAUGAUUAGGAUUUUACUGCUGUUAGAUAAUAAAAUAAAAUAUGAGUAUUAUUUUAUGUCUGGCUUAUGUUUUUUUAGUUUUUUUAAAAAAAAUAAAUAAGAUGGACGAUUAAAAUUGGAAAAAAAAACUUAUGGUUGCGUUUAUU